This 497-nucleotide ribosomal RNA is filed under the name uncultured bacterium. Its description in RNAcentral is "partial 16S ribosomal RNA". It matches the Rfam family "Bacterial small subunit ribosomal RNA", at positions 28 to 507 of the family's 1533-position model. The record is from RNAcentral.
GAUGAACGCUGGCGGCGUGCCUAAUACAUGCAAGUCGAGCGAACAGACGAGGAGCUUGCUCCUCUGACGUUAGCGGCGGACGGGUGAGUAACACGUGGAUAACCUACCUAUAAGACUGGGAUAACUUCGGGAAACCGGAGCUAAUACCGGAUAAUAUAUUGAACCGCAUGGUUCAAUAGUGAAAGACGGUUUUGCUGUCACUUAUAGAUGGAUCCGCGCCGCAUUAGCUAGUUGGUAAGGUAACGGCUUACCAAGGCAACGAUGCGUAGCCGACCUGAGAGCGUGGACGGCCACACUGGAACAGAGACUCGGUCCAGACUCCUGGGGGAGGCAACAGUAGGGAAUCUUCCGCGAUGGACGAGAGCCUGACGGAGCAACGCCGCGUGAGUGAUGAAGGUCUUCGGAUCGUAAAACUCUGUUAUUAGGGAAGAACAAAUGUGUAAGUAACUAUGCACGUCUUGACGGUACCUAAUCAGAAAGCCACGGCUAACUACGUG